Molecule: microRNA, 22 nt
Filed under: Cordylochernes scorpioides
Lineage: Eukaryota; Metazoa; Arthropoda; Arachnida; Pseudoscorpiones; Chernetidae
Source: RNAcentral
AAGAGUCCAGACUGGAUUUGAC